UUGAAGGAGUAAACUGGGUCUUCCAGCCUACAUCUUUCUCCCAUGCUGGAUGCUUCCUAACCUCAACAUUGGACUCCAAGUUCUUCAGCUUUGGGACUCCAGGACUCUUUGGGACUCUUCAACCACAGACUGAAGGCUGCACUGUCGGCUUCCCUAUUUUUGAGGUUUUGGGACUCAAACUGGCUUUCUUGCUCCUCAGCUUGCAGACGGCCUAUUGUGGGACUUCACCUUGUGAUCAUAAUUGCCCCCCUGGGGUCCUCUUGGCUUCUCUCUCCUGUCGUGGAACCAUGCCUCACAAAGCAAGGGCUGUUGGCCCAGAGUACUCUCUGCUUACUGCAUGAAAGAAGAACCUCUGAUUCAUGCAUGAGGCUGGAUGAAUGAAAGGAGCCCAUAGCUCUCCAUCAUACUCCCCUGAAACAUAGCCUCAGCAACAAGCUUCUAAGGGCAGAACGAGAAAUGAUGAAGCCCCGCUCCUCCUGGGAAGCAGAAAACUACAGCUGAAAGAUGGGGAGGAGUUUUGGAAUUUUCACCACUUACCAGUUAUUUUGGAGAGCUGAUCAGUAGAACGCCUCAUGCUGUCAUCAUAGAAGUUGAUCAAAGUAUUGUUUUCUUUCAGUCCACUAAUUAUAUUUUGUCCUCAAAUUAUAUUCUACCAAAAUUCUGUUUCACCAUAGUCCAAGUAUUUUAAAAAGUUUUCUUGCCCUGUUCUUAUUAUGCAAAACGUAAGAACUAUCCUUUUCCACCAUCUCUUUGAAAAAUCAAAUAUAAAACUGAAACACAAUUC
RNAcentral lists this long non-coding RNA (784 nucleotides) under Homo sapiens (human). RNAcentral's name for it is "long intergenic non-protein coding RNA 1035". Lineage: Eukaryota; Metazoa; Chordata; Mammalia; Primates; Hominidae. The record is from RNAcentral.